AAGUCGAACGAUGAAACUUAGUAGACUUCUUCGGAAAGACACUAAGCGGAUUAGUGGCGAACGGGUGAGUAACGCGUGAGUAACCUGCCUUACACAAGGGGAUAGCCUUUGGAAACGAAGAAUAAUACCCUAUAAAACCAUAAAAGCACAUGCUAGAAUGGUCAAAGUGAUAGCGGUGUAAGAUGGACUUGCGUCUGAUUAGCUAGUUGGUGAGAUAAAAGCUCACCAAGGCAACGAUCAGUAGCCGGCUUGAGAGAGUGUACGGCCACAUUGGGACUGAGACACGGCCCAGACUCCUACGGGAGGCAGCAGUGGGGAAUUUUGCACAAUGGGGGAAACCCUGAUGCAGCGACGCCGCGUGAUUUAGAAGGCCUUCGGGUUGUAAAAAUCUUUUGUAUAGGAAGAAAAUGACAGUACUAUACGAAUAAGGUCCGGCUAAUUACGUGCCAGCAGCCGCGGUAAUACGUAAGGACCGAGCGUUGUCCGGAAUCAUUGGGCGUAAAGGGUACGUAGGCGGCUAGAAAGGUUAGAAGUCAAAGGCUAUAGCUCAACUAUAGUAAGCUUCUAAAACUAUUUAGCUUGAGAAAUGGAAGGGAAAGUGGAAUUCCUAGUGUAGCGGUGGAAUGCGCAGAUAUUAGGAAGAAUACCGGUGGCGAAGGCGACUUUCUGGCCAUUAUCUGACGCUGAGGUACGAAAGCGUGGGUAGC
RNAcentral lists this ribosomal RNA (707 nucleotides) under uncultured Eubacteriales bacterium. RNAcentral's name for it is "bacterial SSU rRNA". It matches the Rfam family "Bacterial small subunit ribosomal RNA", at positions 59 to 769 of the family's 1533-position model. Lineage: Bacteria; Bacillati; Bacillota; Clostridia; Eubacteriales. The record is from RNAcentral.